AGUCUUAUAGUUUAAUACAAAAUUUUAAAUUGCAAGUUUAAAGAUGAUACAUUCUAAGACUU
RNAcentral lists this transfer RNA (62 nucleotides) under Orosius sp. RNAcentral describes it as "tRNA-Cys". Lineage: Eukaryota; Metazoa; Arthropoda; Insecta; Hemiptera; Cicadellidae. The record is from RNAcentral.